UCCNCUGCUUUUAGGAAGGUUUUGAUGGAA
This 30-nucleotide non-coding RNA is filed under the name Rattus norvegicus (Norway rat). The record is from RNAcentral. Lineage: Eukaryota; Metazoa; Chordata; Mammalia; Rodentia; Muridae.